This 785-nucleotide ribosomal RNA is filed under the name uncultured bacterium. RNAcentral's name for it is "bacterial SSU rRNA". It matches the Rfam family "Bacterial small subunit ribosomal RNA", at positions 28 to 806 of the family's 1533-position model. The record is from RNAcentral.
GAUGAACGCUAGCGACAGGCUUAACACAUGCAAGUCGAGGGGCAGCGGGGGUAGCAAUACCCGCCGGCGACCGGCGCACGGGUGAGUAACGCGUAUGCAACUUACCUAUCAGAGGGGGGAUAACCCGGCGAAAGUCGGACUAAUACCGCAUGAAGCAGGGGCCCCGCAUGGGGAUAUUUGCUAAAGACUCAUCGCUGAUAGAUAGGCAUGCGUUCCAUUAGGCAGUUGGCGGGGUAACGGCCCACCAAACCGACGAUGGAUAGGGGUUCUGAGAGGAAGGUCCCCCACAUUGGUACUGAGACGCGGACCAAACUCCUACGGGAGGCAGCAGUGAGGAAUAUUGGUCAAUGGGCGUAAGCCUGAACCAGCCAAGUCGCGUGAGGGAUGAAGGUUCUAUGGAUCGUAAACCUCUUUUAUAAGGGAAUAAAGUGCGGGACGUGUCCCGUUUUGUAUGUACCUUAUGAAUAAGGAUCGGCUAACUCCGUGCCAGCAGCCGCGGUAAUACGGAGGAUCCGAGCGUUAUCCGGAUUUAUUGGGUUUAAAGGGUGCGUAGGCGGCCUUUUAAGUCAGCGGUGAAAGCCUGUGGCUCAACCAUAGAAUUGUCGUUGAAACUGGGAGGCUUGAGUAUGUUUGAGGCAGGCGGAAUGCGUGGUGUAGCGGUGAAAUGCUUAGAUAUCACGCAGAACCCCGAUUGCGAAGGCAGCCUGCCAAGCCAUGACUGACGCUGAUGCACGAAAGCGUGGGGAUCAAACAGGAUUAGAUACCCUGGUAGUCCACGCAGUAAA